AUUGAACGCUGGCGGCAUGCUUUACACAUGCAAGUCGAACGGCAGCGCGGGCUUCGGCCUGGCGGCGAGUGGCGCACGGGUGAGUAAUACAUCGGAACGUGCUCAGUAGUGGGGGAUAGCUCGGCGAAAGCCGGAUUAAUACCGCAUACGACCUGCGGGUGAAAGCGGGGGAUCUUCGGACCUCGCGCUAUUGGAGCGGCCGAUGGCAGAUUAGCUAGUUGGUGGGGUAAAGGCCUACCAAGGCGACGAUCUGUAGCUGGUCUGAGAGGACGACCGGCCACACUGGGACUGAGACACGGCCCAGACUCCUACGGGAGGCAGCAGUGGGGAAUUUUGGACAAUGGGCGAAAGCCUGAUCCAGCAAUGCCGCGUGUGUGAUGAAGGCCUUCGGGUUGUAAAGCACUUUUGGCGGGAACGAAAAGGACUGUGCCAAUACCACGGUUCGAUGACGGUACCCGCAGAAUAAGCACCGGCUAACUACGUG
RNAcentral lists this ribosomal RNA (484 nucleotides) under uncultured bacterium. RNAcentral describes it as "partial 16S ribosomal RNA". It matches the Rfam family "Bacterial small subunit ribosomal RNA", at positions 29 to 507 of the family's 1533-position model. The record is from RNAcentral.